RNAcentral lists this ribosomal RNA (519 nucleotides) under uncultured eukaryote. Its description in RNAcentral is "SSU rRNA". It matches the Rfam family "Eukaryotic small subunit ribosomal RNA", at positions 1161 to 1703 of the family's 1831-position model. The record is from RNAcentral.
AGGGCACCACCAGGAGUGGAGCCUGCGGCUUAAUUUGACUCAACACGGGAAAUCUCACCAGGCCCGGACACUGGAAGGAUUGACAGAUUGAGAGCUCCUUCUUGAUUCAGUGGGUGGUGGUGCAUGGCCGUUCUUAGUUGGUGGAGCGAUUUGUCUGGUUAAUUCCGGUAACGAACGAGACUCUGGCCUACUAACUAGACGUUAGAUCCUUUAUGGGUUUGACGAUGCUUCUUAGAGGGACGGGCGGUUUUUAGCCGCACGAGAAUGAGCAAUAACAGGUCUGUGAUGCCCUUAGAUGUUCUGGGCUGCACGCGCGCUACACUGAAGAAAUCAGCGUGUGUUCCCUAUCCGAAAGGUUUGGGAAACCCGUUGAACCUUCUUCGUGAUGGGGAUUGGGGAUUGUAAUUAUUCCCCAUGAACGAGGAAUUCCCAGUAGGCGCGAGUCAUAAGCUUGCGUCGAUUACGUCCCUGCCCUUUGUACACACCGCCCGUCGCUACUACCGAUCGAGUGAUUUAGUG